Molecule: small nucleolar RNA, 132 nt
Filed under: Sorex araneus (European shrew)
Lineage: Eukaryota; Metazoa; Chordata; Mammalia; Eulipotyphla; Soricidae
Description: Small nucleolar RNA SNORA9 (ENSSARG00000015666.1)
Rfam family: Small nucleolar RNA SNORA9
About the family: ACA9 is a member of the H/ACA class of snoRNA that guide the sites of modification of uridines to pseudouridines.
Source: RNAcentral
CUUCAAGCCUCCAGCGUGCUGGGGUCUGGAGUGACCCCGUGGAUUCUUACAGUGCUUGCAAGAACAUUAUGAAAUUGUUUGCCGCUUUGCCCUGCUCCAUUCAGAACAAGGCUAUAGAAAUUUCAGACUAAU